RNAcentral lists this ribosomal RNA (465 nucleotides) under uncultured bacterium. RNAcentral's name for it is "partial 16S ribosomal RNA". It matches the Rfam family "Bacterial small subunit ribosomal RNA", at positions 338 to 795 of the family's 1533-position model. The record is from RNAcentral.
CCUACGGGCGGCAGCAGUAGGGAAUCUUCCACAAUGGACGAAAGUCUGAUGGAGCAACGCCGCGUGAGUGAAGAAGGGUUUCGGCUCGUAAAGCUCUGUUGGUAGUGAAGAAAGAUAGAGGGAGUAACUGGCCUUGACUUGACGGUAACUACGGAGAAAGUCACGGCUAACUACGUGCCAGCAGCCGCGGUAAUACGUAGGGGGCAAGCGUUGUCCGGAUUGAUUGGGCGGAAAGCGAGUGCAGGCGGUUCUCUAAGUCUGAUGUGAAAGCCUUCGGCUCAACCGGAGAAUUGCAUCCGAAACUGUUGAACUUGAGUGCAGAAGAGGAGAGUGGAACUCCAUGUGUAGCGGUGCAAUGCGUAGAUAUUUGGAAGAACACCAGUGGCGAAGGCGGCUCUCUGGUCUGCAACUGACGCUGAGGCUCGAAAGCGUGGGUAGCGAACAGGAUUAGAUACCCCAGUAGUC